UUAUGGCUCAGGAUGAACGCUGGCGGCGUGCCUAACACAUGCAAGUCGAGCGAGAAGCUCAUGACCAAUACUCGGUUGCGUGAUUGAGUGGAAAGCGGCGACGGGUGAGUAACGCGUAGGCAACCUGCCCCUUGCAGAGGGAUAGCCUCGGGAAACCGGGAUUAAGACCUCAUAAUGUGUCUGUGAGACAUCUCAUAGACGCCAAAGAUUUAUCGGCAAGGGAUGGGCCUGCGUCUGAUUAGUUAGUUGGUGGGGUAACGGCCUACCAAGGCGACGAUCAGUAGCCGACCUGAGAGGGUGAUCGGCCACAUUGGAACUGAGACACGGUCCAAACUCCUACGGGAGGCAGCAGUGGGGAAUAUUGCACAAUGGGCGAAAGCCCUGAUGCAGCAACGCCGCGUGAAGGAUGAAGGCCCUUGGGUCGUAAACUUCUGUUCUAAGGGAAGAUAAUGACGGUACCUUAGGAGCAAGUCCCGGCUAACUACGUGCCAGCAGCCGC
Molecule: ribosomal RNA, 499 nt
Filed under: uncultured bacterium
Lineage: Bacteria
Description: bacterial SSU rRNA
Rfam family: Bacterial small subunit ribosomal RNA
Source: RNAcentral